GUGAGGAAUAUUGGUCAAUGGGCGGAAGCCUGAACCAGCCAUCCCGCGUGAAGAAGGCGGCCCUAUGGGUUGUAAACUUCUUUAGUACAUGAAGAACAGGAUCUACGCGUAGGUUUAUGACGGUAAUGUACAAAAAAGCAUCGGCUAACUCCGUGCCAGCAGCCGCGGUAAUACGGAGGAUGCGAGCGUUAUCCGGAUUCAUUGGGUUUAAAGGGUACGUAGGUGGCCCUGUAAGUCAGUGGUGAAAAUCUGCCGCUUAACGGUAGGGGUGCCAAUGAUACUGCGGGGCUUGAGUACAGUUGAGGUAGGUGGAAUGUGUAGUGUAGCGGUGAAAUGCAUAGAUAUUACACAGAACUCCGAUUGCGAAGGCAUCUUACUAAGCUGAAACUGACACUGAUGUACGAAAGCGUGGGGAUCGAACAGGAUUAGAUACCCUAGUAGUCC
Molecule: ribosomal RNA, 444 nt
Filed under: uncultured bacterium
Lineage: Bacteria
Description: partial 16S ribosomal RNA
Rfam family: Bacterial small subunit ribosomal RNA
Source: RNAcentral